CAUCCUGGCACAGCUUCAUUUUUACAUCAAAGCAACUUUUUGUUUGUUUUUGUCAUAAGCAAGUGGAUUGAAACAACUUCAGUCAAGUCACAAACAAGUGGAUUUAAAGUUCUUUCAAACCCAUACACAACACAAGGGAGCCUAAUUUUGUUAAAAACAGAAGGCACUAAUGAGGCAUUAAAUAAUCAACAUUUUGCAAGAAUCAGUCAUUCCAAAGCAAGUGCACAUCUUUACUUUGUGAAUGAAGGAUUGUUCCCAUUAAGCCAGAAGGCCCCAAAUGCUUAA
Molecule: long non-coding RNA, 285 nt
Filed under: Felis catus (domestic cat)
Lineage: Eukaryota; Metazoa; Chordata; Mammalia; Carnivora; Felidae
Description: lncRNA (ENSFCAG00000051959.1)
Source: RNAcentral